RNAcentral lists this ribosomal RNA (117 nucleotides) under Candidatus Nitrobium versatile. The record is from RNAcentral. Lineage: Bacteria; Pseudomonadati; Nitrospirota; Nitrospiria; Nitrospirales; Nitrospiraceae.
CACGGUGGUUUUGCUGGAGGGGUCACACCCGUUCCCAUUCCGAACACGGAAGUUAAGCCCUCCGAGGCCGAUGAUACUAUGACCGCGAGGUCAUGGGAAAGUAGGACGCCGCCGGAU